UAUCUGAUUGCUGGCAAGCUUCUACAUUUCGUACAUAAGCACUGUUGGAGUUUCUUCUGUUUAAACGGCACAUCUUAGAAUAAUGGUUUUUGUUUUUGCAUGUAUUACAUGUAACACCAAUUGCUGGACAUCGAUAUUGGUGAAUUUGACCGCAACGGGAACAAUUGUUUUUUGAUAUAUAUGUAUUUGACGAAUAGCUGUUUUGUUUUUUAUUGCUGUUUGAAUGUGGUUUAAUUGAAGGUGACAUUUGAUGACGGAAAUUAUUGUUGUAUGAUUGAUUUUGAUAUUUUUCGAAAUUUUUUGUAGGAUGAUGGUUAAUAGCAUUUAUAUGACUUUGAUUAUUUAAUUCUAAUUGCUUUGCGUGGUCUUUUGUGAGCUCAAUUGUCUUUGCAAUUUCGAGCGCUUUUUCAAGCUUUAUAGCUCCUUCAGUAAGCAGACGUUCUUUUACAUUAGACCAGCUAUUGCUUAAACCACAAACAAAAAUAUCUCUUACCAGUUCUUCUCUUAGCUUGUCGAAAUCACAUGAAAGGCUUAGAUUUUUUAGCGCGGUUAUGUAGUCAUCCAUUGAUUCACCUAAUUGCUGCGUCCUUGUGAAAAAUUUGUGUCGCUCCAUAGCGAUAUUGACUUUUGGCAAAAAAUGUGCUUCUAAUUUAGCCACGAGGUCAUCAAAUAAGACAUUAUCCAAGUCGAGAUCAAAUGAAAAAAAAGAUUUCUAAAGAGUCUGGUCCCAUGUGAUGCAAGAGAAGUGCUACUUUUCUUUGGUCUGCCUGGGUGUCCAAGCUGGAUGCACGUAAAAAUAUUUUAAAUUGUGUCAGCCAAUUUUUCCAUUCCACCGGCAUAUUAGAAGAUUUCAAAUUAAGCGGAAGAAUUGCUGGCGUGAAAGUUGGUGGAGUCACUACCGUAGCCAUAUUGUCUUGUACAUCAGUUUUUAUUACUUUCAUAUUUAAUGAGAAUGACCAUUAUGAUAUUUGGGUAAUAUGAACACUUUUAAAAUUCACUUUUGUAAAACACCUGACACCAUAUUGUAUGUUUAUAGAAUAAUGAUAAGACGACUUAACUUGCUUAAAGAGUGUCUUUAUUGUCUUCGGUGUUAACACUUUGAAUGUCGUGACACAACUGCCAAGACUUACUUAAAACUAACUUAAUACUACAAAAUGAAGAGAGAGAGAAAGAGAGACUUUACUUCAUAUAACAACCUACAUACCUACAUUAAUUUUGUGUUUUAUUAAACAUUACUGCUUAAAAUUAAAGGUGCUCCAGAGUAAAAAUCGAUCGAAUUCGAUUCGAAACUAAAAACCCGACCAUCCAAUCAGACUUUUUAAAGUCUAAAAGUGCUCUUUUUGCUAAGCCGCACAAUAUCGCCCAAAUUCAGAAAAAAAAAAACUAUUUGACUCGCAGCCUGAGCAAACAAUAAAAAAUCACCCCCAAAAUCUCCAUCUUGGCACCUUUAUUUUAUUUAAAUGUGUAAAAAAAAAGUACAUAUUUUUAUUUUUUUGAUCCUGUUUAAAAAUCCUGCAAGGACCAAAUAAAAUUAACAGCAAAAAAAAAUACAACACACACUCUCAACUCAACAAUCAAAAUCAUCCAAACUUUCAUCCUCGGAAAACAUCCAGGAAAACAUCUAAAAUUGCACUUAUAACCUAAAUAAGCAAUAUCCAGGAAAACAUCUAAAAUUGCACUUAUAACCUAAAUAAGCAAUAUCCAGGAAAAACAUAUAAAAUCAUCUUCUACCUGAGCCUUUAUCUCAUCACGUUUCAAAAAAAAAAAAAACUAUAAAAGCUAAGUACCUAAAAAUCUUUCUUUCAAGUAAAAAAAUAAAAAAAAAAGUUUUAUAAAUCUUAAAUUAUUGCAUAUCUACUAUUUGACCUUGUACAUUCAAUUCGUUCAAAUUUCUUUUUUUCUAUUUUACCCUAUUUUAGUCUAGCUUUAAAAUAAAUAAGCAAAAUCAUAACAAAACAACAACAAAAACUCAAUCCUGCGAUGGUGUGCACAUUAUCAGGAGGAAAUGACCAAAUGUGAAUUAUAAACAACGAAGAACAAAAAUACAAUUCACCACUGUAACACAUAAAAAUAUGCAAAAUUGCAAAACAAUUUGUGGGGUAAGUGAGAAUAUUAAUUUAUUGAUUGAAAAUUUGAA
Molecule: long non-coding RNA, 2137 nt
Organism: Episyrphus balteatus (marmalade hoverfly)
Lineage: Eukaryota; Metazoa; Arthropoda; Insecta; Diptera; Syrphidae
Exons: 2
Source: RefSeq, a predicted model, not a curated record